GACGAACGCUGGCGGCGUGCCUAAUACAUGCAAGUAGAACGCAGUUGCGAACGGGUGAGUAACGCAUAGGUAACUGCCUGGUAGCGGGGGAUAACUAUUGGAAACGAAAGCUAAUACCGCAUACUACAAGAUGGACCUGCGUUGUAUUAGCGAGUUGGGGGGGAAACGGCCAACAAAGGCAACGAUACAUAGCCGACCUUAGCGGGUGAUUGGGCACACUGGGACCGAGACACGGCCCAGACUCCUUCGGGAGGCAGCAGUAGGGAAUCUUCGGCAAUGGACGGAAGUCUGACCGAGCAACGCCGCGGUAGUGAAGAAGGUUUUCGGAUCGUAAAGCUCUGUUGUAAGAGAAGCGGUAUCUUACCAGAAAGGGACGGCUAACUACGUGCCAGCAGCCGCGGUAAUUC
This 407-nucleotide ribosomal RNA is filed under the name uncultured bacterium. RNAcentral describes it as "partial 16S ribosomal RNA". It matches the Rfam family "Bacterial small subunit ribosomal RNA", at positions 28 to 526 of the family's 1533-position model. The record is from RNAcentral.